GGCAGAUGAUGUCUGUUCUCACGAUGGUCUUCAGAAGCCUGUCACGGCACUGCUGAGAAAGCCGGUUGGCAACACUGAUGCUAGAAA
Small nucleolar RNA from Octodon degus (degu), 87 nucleotides. Ensembl annotates it as small nucleolar RNA, C/D box 35B. Its record names the gene SNORD35B. The record is from Ensembl. NCBI's taxonomy places the organism in Eukaryota, Metazoa, Chordata, Mammalia, Rodentia, Octodontidae.